UUCUGGGAUUGGUGUUCUCUCUCCGUAGCCGUGAAAUCCUAAAGGAACCAACUUUUGUAUCGGACAAGGCCUAAGAGAUGACCGGGGAUCGCCUUGAGGCUAGGCUUUCUCCGACCGAUGAGGCUACAGCGAACGAUGCUUCUCGGACGAGGCAAAGGAGAAAGAGAAAGUGGGAUCAGCCUGCGGAGCAACUUGUUGCAGCUGGAGUUGCGCUUCCUCGAUUACUCCCUUUAAGCAAUGUUCCUGCUAUCUCCUGCUUAAACAACACAGUUUCUGCGUCUGUGGCGCCAUUUUUCCAAACGCUUUCUUCCCUCCCUCAACAAACUACAUCAGUUCCACAAGUUAAUCAACCUAAGAUCCAAGAUGAGUUGACCAUAGCGCGAGAGAUUGUUAUCAACGAUGCUGAGGCUUCUCUUAGGCACAAGCUUACCAAACGCUCUACUCAAGAAGAAAUUCAGAGGUCUACUGGUGCUGUGGUGAUUACCAGGGGCAAGUACCGUCUUCCAAGUGCACCUCCUGAUGGUGAAAAGCCAUUAUAUCUUCACAUAUCUGCUGCUGCCCAUUUAAAAGAGACUGCAGAGCGUAUUUUAGCCGUUGAUCGUGCAGCAGCUAUGAUUGAGGAGAUGAUGAAACAGAAAACAAACUCACAGGCCGGGUUGGUUGGUUUUCAGACGGUCAAGAUGUUGAGCACAUGCGUGUAUUUGGGUUUUGAAGCUGACCCAUCAUCUAAUGUUGCUGCUCGUAUUCGUGGGCCUAAUGAUCAGUAUAUAAAUCACAUUAUGAAUGAAACAGGAGCAACCGUUGUACUAAGAGGGCGUGGUUCAGGUAGCCUUGAAAACCAACAUAGUGAAGAAGCACUGCAACCAUUGCAUCUACUUUUGUCUAGCAGCAAUCCAAAGAGCAUUGACGAUGCAAAACGUUUAGCUGAGAAUCUUAUGGAUACAAUCAGUGUAGAAUUCGGGGCUUCAAGGGUUUCCUCAAGCAAGGUGUAUGGUGCAGUACCACCACCACAGCAACUGCUUUCUGGAGCUCCGAGUGCUGACAACGAGCAAAAGCCAAGUUUGAGUUCAACAUAUGGUUUGAUGACAUCGCUACCCAUCAUAUCGCCGCCAAAUGCUGUUAAUCCGUUUUCAGUUCCUCCGGCAACAACUCUUUAUCCUCAGUUUCCAGUGUUGCAGCCUCCAGUGAUCUCAAAUGGUGGGCACUUGCGACCAAGUCCAGUCAAUUACUUACAGCCUGUGGCUGGGGGAACUAGCUAUAGUGGGUAUGCCGGAAUAUACCCUCAAGCCACUCCACUGCAACAAGUUGCUCAAGUCCUUAAGCAAUCAAUUUCUCCUGUUAUCUCCACUGUGCCCCCUACUUUGUUGACAGCUACGUCCUUAUCGAAGCCAAGUGAUAUUUCAAAUAAGGAAAAGGAUAGGCGUCCACCCCAAAAGCGAAAGUUUCAGGAGCUACCAGCUGAUUCUAAAGUCCCAGCAAAAGCCAAACAGGUAUUUUUCUGAACUUCUAAGAAGCUAACUAGCUGAUUCUGGACCCGUGGGCCAUUGGUUUGCAUGUUUCACAGGGUAUUCUUAAUAUUGGAGGCACCAUGUGGUUGUUGCAGUCAUUCUUGCUUCGACUUGGCGAUUAGAAUCAGAACCUUAUCCAGACUUUAUGAACGUCUUUUAACAGUCAUGACAUGUCUCCCUUUUCUGCAUGAUGACGUGCAUGUCAUCUUUGCAUAAUCCAAUAUAUCUACGGCAGUUUAGUUCCUUGCAUUUAGGCUGGCAUUAGGCUCCUAUCUAUGGAAGUAUGCGCUUGAUUUAUAGUUUGUAUCUCCAAUCAAUGUAACUUGUUGCAUGAAGUUAGAGAAAAUUAUCAUGAAUUUAACCAAUAUAUACAUAUCUUAGGCGCUGUUGGAACCAAAGAGCUACAUUAUCCUCUGUUCUUUAACUUGUGUCUUUAGGAGUCAGUGAGCUGUGAUUAUUUGGAUGAAAAUGUUAUUUUAUAUAUUUGCAUGGUCACGUUUUAUCUGCCAAAACAUUUAUCUAACUUUUGUAGUGUAAAUGGCGAUGUUCUAUUCCUAUUAUUUGUUGCAGCAGUUGGAGAUAGCAAUGGCAGGUGAAGUUACUCAAAAGAAUAGUAUAGUUGAGCCAUCAGCAAAUGGAGUGCGGUCGCUGCCUUCACCAAGAUCUGUGAUGCCUCCUCCUCCCCCAAAGAUCAUCCCAACAUCAUCGAGAAGCAUGCUUCCUCCACCACCGCGAUUUGCACCAUCAACGCAACCUCCAAGAUUACAGGAAGACUGCAUCACUGUAAAGAAACCAAAUCCAGUUCCAGAUACUUUAGUUAAGCUGAUGGAAUAUGGGGAUGAUGAAGAGGAUGAUGACGAUCCUGACGAGACAUUGAUAAUCAGAUCGUGACAGUUGUAAGUAGCAGUAGAUGAUGGAACCAUCUGAUCUGGCAAAAACAAAAUGCCAAUCUCUAUGUUUGUAACAAUAGAAUUUUUGAGGUCUUGUUUAUUUGACCUCCUACUGACUCUAGCUACUUGUCUUGCCAGGCAGAGAA
Molecule: RNA transcript, 2544 nt
Organism: Eutrema salsugineum
Lineage: Eukaryota; Viridiplantae; Streptophyta; Magnoliopsida; Brassicales; Brassicaceae
Gene name: protein RIK
Exons: 12
Source: RefSeq, a predicted model, not a curated record